UGGGGAAUAUUGGGCAAUGGGCGAAAGCCUGACCCAGCAACGCCGCGUGAAGGAAGAAGGCCCUCGGGUUGUAAACUUCUUUUGUCAGGGACGAAGCAAGUGACGGUACCUGACGAAUAAGCCACGGCUAACUACGUGCCAGCAGCCGCGGUAAUACGUAGGUGGCAAGCGUUAUCCGGAUUUACUGGGUGUAAAGGGCGUGUAGGCGGGAGUGCAAGUCAGAUGUGAAAACUAUGGGCUCAACCCAUAGCCUGCAUUUGAAACUGUACUUCUUGAGUGAUGGAGAGGCAGGCGGAAUUCCCUGUGUAGCGGUGAAAUGCGUAGAUAUAGGGAGGAACACCAGUGGCGAAGGCGGCCUGCUGGACAUUAACUGACGCUGAGGCGCGAAAGCGUGGGGAGCAAACA
This 405-nucleotide ribosomal RNA is filed under the name uncultured bacterium. RNAcentral describes it as "bacterial SSU rRNA". It matches the Rfam family "Bacterial small subunit ribosomal RNA", at positions 355 to 774 of the family's 1533-position model. The record is from RNAcentral.